Molecule: long non-coding RNA, 657 nt
Organism: Papaver somniferum (opium poppy)
Lineage: Eukaryota; Viridiplantae; Streptophyta; Magnoliopsida; Ranunculales; Papaveraceae
Exons: 6
Source: RefSeq, a predicted model, not a curated record
GAUCGUCGUGAUCACAGUUACAUUGUAUCAAUAAGACACUACCGUGCUCCUGAGGUUAUUCUUGGACUUGGAUGGAGUUACCCUUGUGAUAUUUGGAGUAUUGGUUGUAUCUAAUUGAGCUAUGCUCGGGAGAGACAUUGUUUAAGACGCACGAUAACUUAGAGCACCUGGCCCUGAUGGAGAGGAUAUUGAGGUCAAUACCAAGUCACAUGUUGAAGAGAGUUGGGUUCAGGUUGGAAGAUCACCAAUUUAUAAAGUUGAUCGGCUACUUGUUUUAUGGGUUGUAAAUCAAAUGUGGAAUGGUUAACCUUGUUGAUUUGCUGGGUCCAGGACCUUCAUAAUGCUCAGUUGUUAUUGACGGCAGAAAUGAGUGAAAAACUCGAAAAGACUCGGGAAUAAACUCGAGAAUGUUGAACAUUCAAUUUUCGAUCUAGAACAGAGAUAUAGACAAGCAAAUGCGACCAUCAAAGAAAAAGAAUUUUUUAUCUCUAAUCUCCUUUGAGCAGGAAUUGGAUAAGGAACACACUAUGAAAGGUGUACAAGCAGCUGAAAGCUUUUUUUUUUCUUUUGAGUUUGUUGUUAAGUUCAUUAAUUAGGUAGUUUUGGUUCUAAAACAGGGGUAACUUGAUUUUGUUGGAUUAAUUUGAUUAUGAAUGA